GCCUUCGUGGUGUAAAGGUAGCACACUCGACACCUAUUCGAGAGAUCCAGGUUCGAUUCCUAACGGAAGCA
RNAcentral lists this transfer RNA (71 nucleotides) under Stegodyphus mimosarum. It matches the Rfam family "tRNA". From Rfam's summary of the family: Transfer RNA (tRNA) molecules are approximately 80 nucleotides in length. Their secondary structure includes four short double-helical elements and three loops (D, anti-codon, and T loops). Further hydrogen bonds mediate the characteristic L-shaped molecular structure. tRNAs have two regions of fundamental functional importance: the anti-codon, which is responsible for specific mRNA codon recognition, and the 3' end, to which the tRNAs corresponding amino acid is attached (by aminoacyl-tRNA synthetases). tRNAs cope with the degeneracy of the genetic code in two manners: having more than one tRNA (with a specific anti-codon) for a particular amino acid; and 'wobble' base-pairing, i.e. permitting non-standard base-pairing at the 3rd anti-codon position. Lineage: Eukaryota; Metazoa; Arthropoda; Arachnida; Araneae; Eresidae. The record is from Rfam by way of RNAcentral.